This 301-nucleotide ribosomal RNA is filed under the name uncultured bacterium. Its description in RNAcentral is "partial 16S ribosomal RNA". It matches the Rfam family "Bacterial small subunit ribosomal RNA", at positions 509 to 809 of the family's 1533-position model. The record is from RNAcentral.
CAGUCGCCGCGGUAAUACAGAGGGUGCAAGCGUUAAUCGGAAUUACUGGGCGUAAAGCGCGCGUAGGUGGUUUGUUAAGUUGGAUGUGAAAUCCCCGGGCUCAACCUGGGAACUGCAUCCAAAACUGGCAAGCUAGAGUAUGGUAGAGGGUGGUGGAAUUUCCUGUGUAGCGGUGAAAUGCGUAGAUAUAGGAAGGAACACCAGUGGCGAAGGCGACCACCUGGACUGAUACUGACACUGAGGUGCGAAAGCGUGGGGAGCAAACAGGAUUAGAUACCCGUGUAGUCCCUGUCUCUUAUAA